ACUCCUACGGGAGGCAGCAGUGGGGAAUUUUGGACAAUGGGCGAAAGCCUGAUCCAGCAAUGCCGCGUGAGUGAAGAAGGCCUUCGGGUUGUAAAGCUCUUUUGUCAGGGAAGAAACGGUGAAAGCUAAUAUCUUUUGCUAAUGACGGUAACUGAAGAAUAAGCACCGGCUAACUACGUGCCAGCAGCCGCGGUAAUACGUAGGGUGCAAGCGUUAAUCGGAAUUACUGGGCGUAAAGCGGGCGCAGGCGGUUUUGUAAGUCUGAUGUGAAAUCCCCGGGCUCAACCUGGGAAUUGCAUUGGAGACUGCAAGGCUAGAAUCUGGCAGAGGGGGGUAGAAUUCCACGUGUAGCAGUGAAAUGCGUAGAUAUGUGGAGGAACACCGAUGGCGAAGGCAGCCCCCUGGGUCAAGAUUGACGCUCAUGCACGAAAGCGUGGGGAGCAAACAGGAUUAGAUACCCCGGUAGUCCC
This 470-nucleotide ribosomal RNA is filed under the name uncultured organism. RNAcentral's name for it is "partial 16S ribosomal RNA". It matches the Rfam family "Bacterial small subunit ribosomal RNA", at positions 335 to 797 of the family's 1533-position model. The record is from RNAcentral.